GAGCCAAGAGCGGUGGCUCACGCCUGUAAUCCCAGCACUUUGGGAGGCCGAGGCGGGCGGAACACGAGGUCAGGAGAUCGAGACCAUCCCGGCUAAAACGGUGAAACCCCGUCUCUACUAAAAAUACAAAAAAUUAGCCAGGCGUAGUGGCAGGCGCCUGUAGUCCCAGCUACUUGGGAGGCUGAGGCAGGAGAAUGGCAUGAACCCGGGAGGCGGAGCUUGCAGUGAGCUGAGAUCCCGCCACUGCACUCCAGCCUGGGCGACAGAGCGAGACUCCGUCUCAAAAAAAAAAAAAAAAAAAAGACUUUCAGGCCAGAGACAGGGAGGGCUGAGGCCCUGACACUCCAUGCUGAUCAAAUGGGUCUGCAGAGCUGCCACCCACACCCAGGAGCAUUAUUUAUGGUGCCGGCCACAGGGCUGAGUUGUGCUUUCCUCCUUCUCCAUCUGGCCCUCCCUGGCAGGGCUCCCGGCUUGACUUACCACCGAUAGGGCCGUAUGCCCUGCCAGCCCUGGGAGAGCCUGCAAGAGACAAGGGUGGAGAGGAAAGAUGGGAGUUAAUUCCUUUCCACAUUGCCAGUCCUGUGCCAACCCCUGUGCUCCCUAUAGCCCCAGGUGGAAACUCCAUACCUACGUGGAAUCCCGUAGUGGACACACCAGGA
Molecule: long non-coding RNA, 659 nt
Filed under: Homo sapiens (human)
Lineage: Eukaryota; Metazoa; Chordata; Mammalia; Primates; Hominidae
Description: HSALNT0333929
Source: RNAcentral